Molecule: long non-coding RNA, 7300 nt
Organism: Mustela erminea (ermine)
Lineage: Eukaryota; Metazoa; Chordata; Mammalia; Carnivora; Mustelidae
Exons: 3
Source: RefSeq, a predicted model, not a curated record
GACACACGGAAGGAACACGGAAGGACAAAGGACGUUUCCAUGAGACCCAGUGACAGGAAGUGCGGCCUCCCCGUGGGAUGGAGAACUUACGGACUCUUUGGUAGCCUCAGGCCGGGGGGUGGGCGGUGGUUAGGGCUCGGCCUGUGGUGUCAGAUAGACUCGGACCAAACCCUGGCUUAGAGCUUAGUAGAUGUGCCAUUUUCGGGCAAGGGAUUUCCAGCCUCAACUUUCUGUUUUCUCAUUUUUAAAAUGGGGAAAAUCAUAGUAGCUCCUUCACUGGGUUGAUAGAAAGAGGAAAUGACUUUCAUACCUAAGUGCUUAAAAUCUGGGCCGUCUGACUCCGACCUUCAGCUGCAAACACCCAAACUACAGCUAGGGUCGUUAUUAGUGUUGUUGUGACUGUAGUUCUCACGAUGUCGUGUGAGACAGAGGGAUUAGGGAACCUCCAAACGUGAGAGACAGUCUGAGGUCGUUACGGAAACCUAGGCAUAAAGGAUCCGGAUCUAUAUUAAGGUAGCGGCUUUAGAGGCAGACGUAGAAGGGAAUAGACCACAUCUAAAAGAUGCCGCGUCCUGCAAAUCCAGAAGGGAGUGUGGUGUGAAGUGCGGGUGCGGACUGACACACGAGAGAACAGGACUGCGACCCCCAGUGCUCCGAACUUGGGUGACGCCACGGAACGUAACGCUCAAGUUUCCUUUUAUGACGGGAAAAUGAUCAGCUCAGUUUUUGAAAUGUUAGACUUUGUAUGUCAAAGGGAAAUCUCAGUGAAGAUCACCCCUAGACAAUCAACGUAUAGUCAGUGAGAAGUUGAAGACGGAAGUAGAAAUUUGUUUUUGCGCCACAUUGCUGUUGUGUCACUGGAGGAAGCAGGUAGGGUUGGAAUAUUGUCCCCCUCAUCUUAUUACUGACCUGUUUCUGGGGUCCGGGUGACUCGUCACCCUUAGGUGUCUUUGUUUAGAAUAUUUUUAUAUUUUCUGGUUCUGCUUCCAUGUAUUUCCUUAUUUUAAAACUACUUCGGCCUUGUCUGCUUUACUAAAAUAUUACAAAGGUUGGUGAUCUCAUGGCGCAGUGGCCCAGUGAUUGUCUCCAUAGUUUCCGCCCAUUUGAUCAGCAUUAAUGCCUUCAUUACUGUGUAUUAAUAGUUCAUCGAAAUGUUUCUGAGAUUGAGUGUGAUGAUUAUUACCACAUAAUUGUUUCAGCGGCGUUCAGACGGCUGCCGAUGGGAUGUGAGCACGAACACCAGGCCCUUCCCUUUUCCCUGACACUGACCUUUUGCUCAGGUCAGAGUACAGUGUUUUAUAAUUAGCCUUCGAAGCCGAACACCCAGCAGUUGGUAGGAAGCAGCCAUAUCCAUGUAAGAGCCCGAAUAACUUUCAGUGUCGUUAUAGUAACUUGUAAAAAAGGAAGUUAUAUUUUCUUGAGGUAAAUGGGGUAUUUCAGGGUUUCUCAACUUCAGCAUUAUUGAUAUUUAGGGGCUAGAUAAAUCUUUGCUGUGGGGGCUGUUGUGCGAUUUGUGGGAUGUUUAACAGCAUCCCUGACCUCUGCCCACUAAACGAUGGUCGCAGCUCCAUCCCCCAAAAUGUGACCAAAAAAACUCCAGAUGAUGCCAGAUGUCCCCACUGAAAACCAGGUACUUAAAUUCUUCCAUUUAGUGAUUCACAGUGCUAAUUUUGAAUGUGUUUUAAAUCUUUAAUACCAUAUGAAAUAACACCUGCUACAUAUGUGUUUUAUCACCAGGGGUUCAGGAGAUCGUUGCUUCUCAGCAGGUGAUGUGCCCGGUUUGGACUCGUAUGCUUCUGCAACGCAAGCCUUACCGUUUCCAUGUGCAGAACGAUACAGAGAGGAAAGGACAGCAGAGACUUGUUCUCUUGUGUUCCCUCUGUGUCUUGCUGAAGGUUCUUAAGCAAAUAUUUAAAAUCUAUUCAACAUUCACUCAUCUGAGACUCAUUAAGGAACUCCUGCGUGCCUGUACUACUGCUGGUUGCUGGCCGCUGACCGCGCGGAGGUGAAUGAGACGGUCUCUAACCUCUGAGAGCUCUCGGUCAAGCAGAGAAGCCAGAUAAGAAAACAGUUACACCAUAACGUGGUAAAUAUGGCAGCUGAGGAUUAUAAAACAGAAAGGGUAAUUCUUCUUGAGGAAAUCAAGGAAGGCUUUUCAGUGUAAGUCAAACUAGAACAGACUCUUAAGAUGAGUAGGAAUUUGCCAGACGAGUAGGAAUUUGCCAGACGCAGGAGGAGAACAAGAACUUGGGGCACAGGGAACAGCCUCUGCAGAAGCUCAGAGCCUGGGCUUUCAGGAAACAAGCAGACACUCCCCUGUGCAAGUCUGUGGCUUUGACCAGAUGACAUGGAUAUGCCUGGAUGAGGACCUGCUUGGUAUCCGUGACCAUUCUGGCUUCAGAGCACUGGAUUAGGGGCCAAGGCAAUCUGUCGAACCCCUGUGCUUGGGGAGAGAAGUGUCGGAUUCACCUGUGCUGUGUGAACCAUGGACGUCCCUGGAGGUCUGCCAGGGUCUACCAGGAGCUUGAAAAUCACAAGACAGUACCUCAGCCCCGAUCAUCAGACUGUGUGCACAUCCUGCCUGAUAUCAAGCGUGGCCUGAAGGAGCACAUUCAGGUUGCGUCCCCCAGAUCGGGGAAAGAGCGAUACCUGCUUGACAGUGUUCCUACAAACAUUGUCUUGUGCUCAGAGAGAGGAUACGUGUACAUUUCCUCCGGGAUGGCAAGAGUGUGCUCACCGUGCCUGACGAGCCUCCAGAACCCAGAAGGCAGAGAGGCUGAACCAUGAUGACUUUGGCCAUUGAUAGCAGGACAAUACCGGAACCCAGUAAUGCAUCAUCGUAUCAGGCACCUUGAAGACUUGGAAAGGGGCUUUCCUUCCCUGGGGUGCCUACUCCAGAGGGAGACCUAUGUGUCAUGUUGAAAGUUUGCUUUCCAGACGUACUUUCACCACAGACAUGGCAGAUUCUGAGGUGAAUUUACCCUAAUCUUAGGUUGUACUCUGAGCCAGCCCAGGAUCCCACACAGCAAUAGAAUAUUCCCUACCAUACAAAUGCCCACCUAGUGUGUACAUAGCUCUGGGCUCAGUGAUACUGGAGACGAUGUCUAAAAUGCAAAAAGCCACCGUUUUCAGGAAAAAUGUUCUGUCCCUCACCUACUUCAGAGCCGGGCUCUCUUGGUGUGUGGAUGGGGAAGUAGAGAUGAGGUCGGGAGAGCCCAGGCCAGGACUGAGCUUUCUGCGUCAAGCUUGGAAUCCGUUUCGCACCUCGGCGGUGGAAAGUGACCUGCGUGUUGCGUGGCAGUACAUCCACAUUGCUUUUCCAGGUCUUCUUUUGCUUCCCAGCCUGUUCUCCCUCUUUGUCUUCUUCCUGACAAGAAAGAGGAAGGGGACAAUAGAUUCGGCUUCACUACUCUCAUCCUGCUUUGCGUACACGGAAUCCUGCGGUCGGGGACCAGCACUGCUGUACGGACACACCCAUGCCCCUGCACACCUCUCACACCUCGCCUCACCUUCUGUGGGGCGGGAGAGGAAGGGAAAUUCUUUGACCUAUGAAGAAAAGGCCAUUGGGACAUAGUCACCUUUCCUUUGAUCCAGGAGGACGAACAAGACCCAGCAGCUUGUCUGCUGCCUCCGCCUCUGUCUGCAGCCCUCCAGGCUGCAGGGUGAGCAAAGCCAAAGCAAACUUCCUUCCCGCCUCUGGUCACCUCUGAGGAGCCACAGCACGCCUCCUUCCUUCCUCCAAGCCCAGACUUUGGAGAUUCCCUAGACAAUACUCCAAACAUAGCCCAACAGAAGGGAGCUCUUUGGGAUUAGAAUAGCAAAUAUGUUUGGAAAGAAUAACACCUUUGGCUGUGAGAAACAGAACAGAGACCGUCCUUUUCAGAGGACAUUCCUUUCAUGUGGACUGAUUCAUUUUCUCGAAUUGUACAGAAACAGUUCUUUACUUUUUUUUAAAAGCAGUUCUUUAAUAAAAAUUUUCCUUCUCAGAAAAGAUGGAAGACUCUCUUGCGGGCUUGAUGGACUGCAUCCUUCAAGACAAGCCUAGGACAGUGGAGAGGGUAGCCUGAGGAGCAUGGCCUCCUUCCCCCAUGCUGGCAGGUAAUGACCGGGGACACGGGGGCUGUGGGAUAGAGGCGAUCCAGGCAGAGUGGCUGAUGGAUGAUUCUGACAAUUUUGUGGUGGUGCCUGGAGAUACAAAACUCAAAUACAGGUAUCCUACUGGGUCAUGUUCUGGAUGAAAGAAAAUAGCUUCAUGGACAUUGUUUUGCAAGUUGAUGUUGUGAUAGGAUAAUAGAUAAAAUGCUGAGGCAAUGUGAAAUUGACUGUAGUUUAUGUAUGCCUUGUGUAUGUAAGAUGGUAUCUUUUUUUAAACAAAUAGAAACUGUAGUUUUUAUAGGUAAAGGGCUUUGGUAUAUGUGCUUGCCCUUUAAUGUUUGAAAAAAAAAAAUCCUUCUCUAUCUACCUGUCUGUACAUAGAGCGUAAGUGAGCACGGGAGUCCAAGGGACAAAUGGUUCAAAGAAGGCAGACCUGGUCAUGGGUGUCGUCAUGCAACUCUUCGUUGGGUUUUCUAUUAUUGCCAAGUUAAAACAACACGUUGACUCUGCCUUCCUCUCAUCAAGAGGCACACAUCAUCUUUUAAUUAUUUUAAUAUUUUAUUGUGAAAAAUUUUAAACAUGCACAUCAGAGAAAAAUGUAAUGAAUUCUUAUGGCCCACCUUCUACCUUAAAAUUAUCGGCAUUUGUGACCAUACCUGUAAACCUUUAAAAGAACAUAGAGACCCAGUCCAGUUGACUUCAUGUCCUCCAUCCCUUGGAGGCAGGGCUAAGCCUCGCCUGGACCAAGCUCUCUGACCCUCUUGGGCUCUCCCCGUCCUGCAUCACUUGAGGAAUAUACUUUCCGCAGCAGGUUGCCAUAAUGCUGUGGCCUUGGACUCAUCUUCCAAGGCUCUGGGCAUGGGUUUGCCUUGUUUUCUAGUCAGCUCCCAGGUCCCUCUUUAAUGAAUUUCCUCCACAUAACAUGCAGGGAAGUCAUCUGACGGAAAUAAUUGCACUGCAUGACAGUAUAAUCCCUUAGUUACCUGCUACCUGCGAGCAUACAAAAGAGAGAGAGAGAGAGAGCGCGCGCACAAGCAACUGGAAAUGUAAUUAAAACCUCAGCGCCCUAUCUAAAUACAGUCUAAUGUUGAUAAGAAAAUGGAUCAGUCCUGAAACACAUCUAAAACAAGAAUUUGGGAUUCCAGUUGAAUAGCAUUGAUGGAACACAUAUUUUAUUUUAUCUUUUUUCUUUUCUAACAUAGCACUAAAAAUAAACGAAUACUACGAAGCCGAUAAGAGUGGAAGACGGUAAAAGAUUUCACAAAUUUGGGGAGAUAGAAAUUAGAUUGGGGUUUGGUAACUAAUUUAAUAGGGUGAGAGAGUUAACCUGCUUCAGUGCCUGCCCGGAGGGAUUCAAGACGCAAAUCAUGUCAUUCUGCAAAUCUUAGUGGACUCAGGAUUUGCAGGCCCCCGAGAAGGAAAAAUGUGGGGUAAAGUGGGAAUUGGCGUGGAGGGAUUCAGAGAAAGUCUGUGAGAUCAGACCCCGCAGUUCGCCUUGAGCAGCCACCUCGCCUCCUUCAUCUCUACCGCCUCAUCAGCAGGCCUCUUCCCCCGGGCACGUGUGACCCGCGGAAGCAGGAUCUUCAGUGCCCUUAAAUCUAAUCGGAUUAGAGAACCAAUUCCAGAAAAUCCAGGACAGAUCCAGAGAACUCAACUCCUCUUGGACCGUCUCAGGUACUAAGUUCCGUAUCACUCAGCUUCGGGCCAGAGAAGCGCAAUAUGUAUAUUUGUGUAUCUCGGUGUGCACACAGACAGACUUCUAGGGAAGCCGACGUGCACAGCCGUUAGGGGCCGAGCGUGUCCAGACUUGGUGGGGCCGCACUGGAAGACCCUGAGCAGGGCCAGAAAGAAGCUCGCUGUCCACCGGAGGCUGGCCGUAGACGAGCAGGAGUGUGGCUCGCGCUAAGGCCGGUAACUUGUAAUCGUGGACGUGCUCGCCUGCGCCUCUCCACUAACCGUCCUGGACUGGGCAGCGCUGUGGAAGGCCGGCGGCAGGCGGGCAGGCACUAUGGACAUGGUGGGCAUGACCUGUUGACUCUGUACCUGGGGUCUCGGCGUUUAUUUCGCAGCUCUCUCCUGUUAGAAAGACGAAUUCCACUCAGAGGCAUGAAAGCAGGUGGGAAGGAACAUUCCUUCGAGAUCCUUAAUGAAUCAAUGACCCAACUGGUUGUCCAGGGCUAGUCAGGGAUGGUGAUAUUUUUGAAAAUAAUGACUGCUCUUGGUCACACGCCUACUGUGCGCCGCCACACGCCUACUGUGCGCCAUCUGACUGCUCACGUUUCUCCACGGCUCGUGAGAAGAGGCGCUGCUUGCCUUCGCUCCUGUCUGCCUUCCAGGGUAUUUGCACAUACGCUAACCUCACGGCCCAGCAGUCCUAUCCCAGGUUUGACCCAGGAGGCGUGGGAACAGGUGUUCAUACAAGAAACCUGCUCAGAAGCCAGAUUUGGUGCGCAUUACGACAUAGUUGGGCUCGCUGAAUGUGAGCUUCCUCUCCCGUGCUACAACUGCCCGUGUAGGUGGCGUCUAGCUUUCUUGGCAUCAUCCCGUGUGUCAGGGCUCAGGAGACUCGUGCGAAUGCCGGUGUUCUGGUACUGGUCGUGCUCUGAGUCAUAAACUGUCCUUUGCUCUCACUCAGGGGUCUCGGGUCUUUUGCUGGUAUCCACAACGAAGUUGAUGACCUCGGAGAAGCUGAACAUGUGAGAGUCUUCAGAGUUCUAGUGCUACACAUACAAGAUCAUAAUUACUAUAAUGCCCUUCUGAGGGAAGAAUUAUUUCUUCGAUUCAGAAACUGGGAUUUAAGGAGGCGAAAUGGGCAGAGGUGACCAUUUAUCAGUGGCAAGAGAAGGUAAUAAACUUAAGAGCUUUAUCUGUAGCCUUGGACUGUCUGUGUUAAGUCCUGACUCCAUCACCAAAUAGCGUCUGUAAGAGGGGACCUGGUUAGGACUGCUACAGGCUCACUUGUCUUGCCCUGAAGGCUCGAGCAUAAAUGUUCAUGAGGAGAUAAGACUUUAUACAUUUAAUAUGAGCUGAAUUAUCUAUUUAAAUGAAUAGGCAAAUUAUCAGGAUCUCUGUUGUCAUUUGUAGAUCUUCUCAUAGAAAGACUGCAACUACCUGAUUUUUUAAAACUUUGAGCUCUGAAGUUUUGCAAUCAAGUGUUUUAACUUUUUACAUUGUGCUUCCUUUCUUCUUUGUCUCCAAAAUUCAA